CACACUGAUAACACAAGGUCUUGGUCUUGAACCUCUUGUUAUCCCGGCUUCAUACCUAUACAUGCAAGUCUCUACACAACAGUGAAACAGCCCACUAUUAACCACUAAUGGAGCAGGCAUCAGGCUACCGCCCACAACGCCAAGCAACUUAUAAGCCACACCCCCACGGGCUCGCAGCAGUACUUAACAUUGGGCCAUAAACGUAAGCUUGACCCAAUAUGAAGCUACUAAGGGUCGGUUAAUCUCGUGCCAGCGACCGCGGUUAUACGACAGACCCAAGACAACACUAACGGCGUAAAGCACGACUAAAAUAAUAGUAACCUAAUUAGAGAUGAGACCAAACUGGGCUGUAAAAAGCCAUAAGCCACACCAAACACCAACUCUAAUACUAAAACUACUCCCACUCGUGAAAGCAAGGAUACAAACUAAGAUUAGAUACCUUACUAUGCCCAGCUGUAACAAAACAAUUAAAUAACAAAUUGUUCGCCAAAUAACUACGAGUAAAAACUUAAAAUUUAAAAGACUUGACGGUACUUCACAUCAACCUAGAGGAGCCUGUCUAAUAACCGAUAAUCCACGAUUAACCCAACCCUAUCUAGCCUAACAGUCUAUAUACCGCCGUCGCCAGCUUACCUUGUGAAAGAAAUAAAGUAAGCAUAAUAACACUACAUUAAUACGACAGGUCGAGGUGUAACUAAUGAUAAGGAAAAAGAUGGGCUACAUUUUCUAACCCAGAAAACACGGAUAAGCUAUGAAAAUAAAAACUGAAGGAGGAUUUAGCAAUAAGAUGAGAACAUAAUACCCAACUGAAAUUAAUGCAAUGAAGUGCGCACACACCGCCCGUCAUCCCUGUAAAUCACAUAAAACAUAAAUAAUUACAUUAAAUUCCUUUAAAGCAGGGCAAGUCGUAACAUGGUAA
RNAcentral lists this non-coding RNA (919 nucleotides) under Bungarus fasciatus (banded krait). Lineage: Eukaryota; Metazoa; Chordata; Lepidosauria; Squamata; Elapidae. The record is from RNAcentral.